Molecule: ribosomal RNA, 868 nt
Filed under: uncultured bacterium
Lineage: Bacteria
Description: bacterial SSU rRNA
Rfam family: Bacterial small subunit ribosomal RNA
Source: RNAcentral
AGAGUUUGAUCCUGGCUCAGGAUGAACGCUAGCUACAGGCUUAACACAUGCAAGUCGAGGGGAAACGAUAGAGAAAGCUUGCUUUUUCUAGGCGUCGACCGGCGCACGGGUGAGUAACGCGUAUCCAACCUGCCCACCACUUGGGGAUAACCUUGCGAAAGUAAGACUAAUACCCAAUGACGUCUCUAGAAGACGUCUGAAAGGGAUUAAAGAUUUAUCGGUGAUGGAUGGGGAUGCGUCUGAUUAGCUUGUUGGCGGGGUAACGGCCCACCAAGGCAACGAUCAGUAGGGGUUCUGAGAGGAAGGUCCCCCACAUUGGAACUGAGACACGGUCCAAACUCCUACGGGAGGCAGCAGUGAGGAAUAUUGGUCAAUGGGCGAGAGCCUGAACCAGCCAAGUAGCGUGCAGGAUGACGGCCCUAUGGGUUGUAAACUGCUUUUAUAAGGGAAUAAAGUGAGCCUCGUGAGGCUUUUUGCAUGUACCUUAUGAAUAAGGACCGGCUAAUUCCGUGCCAGCAGCCGCGGUAAUACGGAAGGUCCGGGCGUUAUCCGGAUUUAUUGGGUUUAAAGGGAGCGUAGGCCGGAGAUUAAGCGUGUUGUGAAAUGUAGAUGCUCAACAUCUGCACUGCAGCGCGAACUGGUUUCCUUGAGUACGCACAAAGUGGGCGGAAUUCGUGGUGUAGCGGUGAAAUGCUUAGAUAUCACGAAGAACUCCGAUUGCGAAGGCAGCUCACUGGAGCGCAACUGACGCUGAAGCUCGAAAGUGCGGGUAUCGAACAGGAUUAGAUACCCUGGUAGUCCGCACGGUAAACGAUGGAUGCCCGCUGUUGGUCUGAAUAGGUCAGCGGCCAAGCGAAAGCAUUAAGCA